GCACGGGUGAGUAACGCGUACCGAACCUGCCCAUCACACAGGGAUAGGCUUGCGAAAGCAAGAUUAAUACCUGAUGGUCUCAGUUGUAUGCAUGUAUGAUUGAGUAAAGCCUUCGGGCGGUGAUGGAUGGCGGUGCGUCCCAUUAGGAAGUUGGCGGGGUAACGGCCCACCAAUCCUUCGAUGGGUAGGGGUUCUGAGAGGAAGGUCCCCCACAUUGGAACUGAGAUACGGUCCAAACUCC
This 241-nucleotide ribosomal RNA is filed under the name uncultured Prevotella sp. RNAcentral describes it as "partial 16S ribosomal RNA". It matches the Rfam family "Bacterial small subunit ribosomal RNA", at positions 100 to 339 of the family's 1533-position model. Lineage: Bacteria; Pseudomonadati; Bacteroidota; Bacteroidia; Bacteroidales; Prevotellaceae. The record is from RNAcentral.